UACGAAGGGGGCUAGCGUUGCUCGGAAUUACUGGGCGUAAAGGGUGCGUAGGCGGGUUUUUAAGUCAGGGGCGAAAUCCUGGAGCUCAACUCCAGAACUGCCUUUGAUACUGAAGAUCUUGAGUUCGGGAGAGGUGAGUGGAACUGCGAGUGUAGAGGUGAAAUUCAUAGAUAUUCGCAAGAACACCAGUGGCGAAGGCGGCUCACUGGCCCGAUACUGACGCUGAGGUGCGAAAGCGUGGGGAGCAAACAGG
RNAcentral lists this ribosomal RNA (253 nucleotides) under uncultured bacterium. Its description in RNAcentral is "partial 16S ribosomal RNA". It matches the Rfam family "Bacterial small subunit ribosomal RNA", at positions 524 to 776 of the family's 1533-position model. The record is from RNAcentral.